Small nucleolar RNA from Condylostylus longicornis, 70 nucleotides. RefSeq annotates it as small nucleolar RNA U18. The transcript has a single exon. NCBI's taxonomy places the organism in Eukaryota, Metazoa, Arthropoda, Insecta, Diptera, Dolichopodidae. The record is from RefSeq and is a predicted model, not a curated record.
UCUCUGAUGAUAAUAAUUGGUCCGUGUUUAUGAAUUUAUUUUGAUUGCAAUUUCCCAAUUACUGAUUUAA